Molecule: long non-coding RNA, 325 nt
Organism: Homo sapiens (human)
Lineage: Eukaryota; Metazoa; Chordata; Mammalia; Primates; Hominidae
Gene: LRP1-AS
Product: LRP1 antisense RNA
Source: Ensembl
CUGGAGGGCAGAGUGAAAGCAGGGGAAAGCUGCAGCCUUUCUUCUUCGUCCUCCUUGGGGAGCUAAUUACAGGCCAGCAGCCACUGUGCAGGUGAGCUGUGGACAGCAGCAGCCCAAGGACGCUAUCAGGGAUGCUCUGGAGGAGCCAAAGGCAGAAAUGUGAACCUUACGCUGAGGCCACGGAGAGUGAGGGCUCUCAGAGGAACCCCUGCUCGCCACCAUCCCGGGGAGGGGCCUUUCUCUCUCCCAGAAUGAAUCCCUUGUAACCUCCUGGGAUCUUUCUUUUCAUCACAAGAACCAAAUAAAGAAACUUGAAGAUCUUCUA